This 337-nucleotide long non-coding RNA is filed under the name Lathyrus oleraceus (garden pea). RNAcentral's name for it is "Pisum sativum (pea) long non-coding RNA (PSAT_LNC023345)". Lineage: Eukaryota; Viridiplantae; Streptophyta; Magnoliopsida; Fabales; Fabaceae. The record is from RNAcentral.
AAAAGUGGUUUUUGACUUAAUUAUAAGUGACAGCUACAUUAACAUAAAAUCAUGGUUUAUUCAACAGAGCGAGAGUUUGAGAUAAAACCUUUAAUCAAUAAAGUUAACUGAAACGAUUUAUUUUAAAACCAAGAAACCGACAAAGAAUUGAUUCCCUAAUUACGACGAACUACAUACCGAUAUCCGAUUUAUUAAUAUUUAAUCUAGAUCUUAGUUUAGUUUUUAGCUUCGCCCCCAAACAAUCAACCAUUAUUCACCUUAGCUUUACGAAGUAACCUUAGAUAACGGUAUAUCGAUUCAUAAGUCCCUGUGGGAUCGAUAUCUUUUAAAACUACGC